GACAGAGGCCCCGAGCGUUAGGCGGAAUCACUGGGCUUAAAGCGUGUGUAGGCAGAUCGUUAAGUGUCUUGUGAAAUCCCACGGCUCACCCGUGGAACUGCUGGGCAUACUGGCGAUCUUGGGCCAUUCAGGGGCGACUGGAACAAGCGGUGGAGCGGUGAAAUGCGUAGAUAUCGCUUGGAACGCCGAAGGUGAAAACAGGUCGCUGGGGAUGUGCCGACGCUGAGACACGAAAGCCAGGGGAGCAAACGGG
This 253-nucleotide ribosomal RNA is filed under the name uncultured bacterium. RNAcentral describes it as "partial 16S ribosomal RNA". It matches the Rfam family "Bacterial small subunit ribosomal RNA", at positions 524 to 776 of the family's 1533-position model. The record is from RNAcentral.